RNAcentral lists this ribosomal RNA (503 nucleotides) under uncultured bacterium. RNAcentral describes it as "bacterial SSU rRNA". It matches the Rfam family "Bacterial small subunit ribosomal RNA", at positions 28 to 536 of the family's 1533-position model. The record is from RNAcentral.
GACGAACGCUGGCGGCGUGCCUCAAACAUGCAAGUCGAGCGGGGAACUUUUAAAAGCGCAAGCUUUUAAAAGUUCCUAGCGGCGAACGGGUGAGUAACACGUGGGCAACCUACCCAGAAGACCGGGAUAACGGCUCGAAAGGGCCGCUAAUACCGGAUAAUGUCGGGGUACCGCAUGGUACUCCGAAGAAAGGGGAAACCCGCUUUUGGAUGGGCCCGCGUCCCAUCAGCUAGUUGGUGAGGUAACGGCUCACCAAGGCGACGACGGGUAGCCGGUCUGAGAGGAUGGUCGGCCACACUGGGACUGAGACACGGCCCAGACUCCUACGGGAGGCAGCAGUUGGGAAUCUUGGGCAAUGGGCGAAAGCCUGACCCAGCGACGCCGCGUGAGGGAAGAAGGCCUUGGGUCGUAAACCUCUGUCAUGGGGGAAGAAGCAAGUGACGGUACCCAAGAGGAAGCCCCUGCUAACUACGUGCCAGCAGCCGCGGUAAUAUAGGCGUACU